GUAGGGAAUAUUGCGCAAUGGACGAAAGUCUGACGCAGCGACGCCGCGUGAGUGAUGAAGGCCUUAGGGUCGUAAAGCUCUGUUGAAUGGGAAGAAAAAAAUGACGGUACCAUUCGAGGAAGGACCGGCUAACUUCGUGCCAGCAGCCGCGGUAAUACGAGGGGUCCUAGCGUUGUUCGGAAUCAUUGGGCGUAAAGGGUGUGUAGGUGGCCAUGUAAGUCAGGUGUGAAAGCCCCGGGCUCAACCCGGGAAGUGCACUUGAUACUGCGUGGUUGAGUACCGAAGAGGGUAGUGGAAUUCCAGGUGUAGUGGUGAAAUACGUAGAUAUCUGGAGGAACACCGGUGGCGAAGGCGGCUACCUGGUCGAGUACUGACACUGAGACACGAAAGCAUGGGGAUCAAACAGGAUUAGAUACCCCUGUAGUCC
This 427-nucleotide ribosomal RNA is filed under the name uncultured bacterium. Its description in RNAcentral is "partial 16S ribosomal RNA". It matches the Rfam family "Bacterial small subunit ribosomal RNA", at positions 354 to 796 of the family's 1533-position model. The record is from RNAcentral.